Lepus europaeus (European hare) is the source of this 270-nucleotide long non-coding RNA. RefSeq lists it as uncharacterized. Lineage: Eukaryota; Metazoa; Chordata; Mammalia; Lagomorpha; Leporidae. The record is from RefSeq and is a predicted model, not a curated record. The transcript has 3 exons.
GAUCUGUUACUGCAUUUGUAGAUAAGGAGUCUACUUCCAAAAGAGAUCCUGAAGACAGCAAAUCAGCAAGGAAUUCUAAGGAAGGAACGUCAACUGUAGCGGGUAAGAAGAGUAAAAAACAUGUUGCCAUCACUCAAGUUGCUCCACUAGAGACAAUUAAUAAAUAUGGGAAGGACUCUGAUCAUGGAUUGGACAAAGAUAACAAACAUAAUAAGGAGUCUGCCUCCCAAAGAGAUCCUGAAGACAGCAAAUCUGAAAGGAAUUCUAAGG